AGCCCCGUGGUCUAGCGGCCAAUGAUGGCGGGCUCUGGACCCGUUGACGGGAGUUCGAAUCUCCCCGGGGCUACCA
Molecule: transfer RNA, 76 nt
Filed under: Candidatus Atabeyarchaeum deiterrae
Lineage: Archaea
Also listed under: 1 other name
Description: tRNA-Gln
Rfam family: tRNA
About the family: Transfer RNA (tRNA) molecules are approximately 80 nucleotides in length. Their secondary structure includes four short double-helical elements and three loops (D, anti-codon, and T loops). Further hydrogen bonds mediate the characteristic L-shaped molecular structure. tRNAs have two regions of fundamental functional importance: the anti-codon, which is responsible for specific mRNA codon recognition, and the 3' end, to which the tRNAs corresponding amino acid is attached (by aminoacyl-tRNA synthetases). tRNAs cope with the degeneracy of the genetic code in two manners: having more than one tRNA (with a specific anti-codon) for a particular amino acid; and 'wobble' base-pairing, i.e. permitting non-standard base-pairing at the 3rd anti-codon position.
Source: RNAcentral